Molecule: regulatory RNA element, 117 nt
Organism: Acidocella aminolytica 101 = DSM 11237
Lineage: Bacteria; Pseudomonadati; Pseudomonadota; Alphaproteobacteria; Acetobacterales; Acidocellaceae
Rfam family: ALIL pseudoknot
Source: Rfam
CGCGUAUUUUGCCCAGGCGGAGCUCGACCGCCGGUUCAAGCGAUGAAGACGUUCAUUGACGAACACCGAGCCGACUAUGGGGUCGAGCCGAUCUGCAAGGUGCUGCCGAUCGCCCCG